AUUGAACGCUGGCGGCAGGCCUAACACAUGCAAGUCGAGCGGAUGAAGGGAGCUUGCUCCUGGAUUCAGCGGCGGACGGGUGAGUAAUGCCUAGGUAUCUGCCUGGUAGUGGGGGAUAACGUCCGGAAACGGGCGCUAAUACCGCAUACGUCCUGAGGGAGAAAGUGGGGGAUCUUCGGACCUCACGCUAUCAGAUGAGCCUAGGUCGGAUUAGCUAGUUGGUGGGGUAAAGGCCUACCAAGGCGACGAUCCGUAACUGGUCUGGGAGGAUGAUCAGUCACACUGGAACUGAGACACGGUCCAGACUCCUACGGGAGGCAGCAGUGGGGAAUAUUGGACAAUGGGCGAAAGCCUGAUCCAGCCAUGCCGCGUGUGUGAAGAAGGUCUUCGGAUUGUAGAGCACUUUAAGUUGGGAGGAAGGGCAGUAAGUUAAUACCUUGCUGUUUUGACGUUACCAACAGAAUAAGCACCGGCUAACUUCGCG
RNAcentral lists this ribosomal RNA (484 nucleotides) under uncultured bacterium. RNAcentral's name for it is "partial 16S ribosomal RNA". It matches the Rfam family "Bacterial small subunit ribosomal RNA", at positions 30 to 507 of the family's 1533-position model. The record is from RNAcentral.